CCUACGGGAGGCAGCAGUAGGGAAUUUUGCGCAAUGGGCGAAAGUCUGACGCAGCAACGCCGCGUGAUCGAGACGCCCUUCGGGGUGUAAAGCUCUGUCAGUGGGGACGAAACUUGACGGGAACCACAGAGGAAGCACCGGCUAACUCCGUGCCAGCAGCCGCGGUAAUACGGGGGGUGCAAGCGUUGUCCGGAAUCAUUGGGCGUAAAGAGUUCGUAGGCGGAACGGAAAGUUAGGUGUUAAAGGCAGUGGCUCAACUUCUGUACGGCACUUGAUACUUGCGAGCUGGAAUGCGGUAGAGGUAAGGGGAAUUCCUGGUGUAGCGGUGAAAUGCGUAGAUAUUAGGAGGAACAUCGGUGGCGUAAGCGCUUUACUGGGCCGUAAUUGACGCUGAGGAACGAAAGCCAGGGUAGCAAAUGGGAUUAGAUACCCGAGUAGUC
This 440-nucleotide ribosomal RNA is filed under the name uncultured bacterium. Its description in RNAcentral is "partial 16S ribosomal RNA". It matches the Rfam family "Bacterial small subunit ribosomal RNA", at positions 338 to 795 of the family's 1533-position model. The record is from RNAcentral.